UACGGAGGGUGCAAGCAUUAAUCGGAUUUAUUGGGCGUAAAGGGCGCGUAGACGGGAAGAUAAGUCAGAUGUGAAAUUCCGAUGCUCAACAUCGGAGCCGCAUUUGAAACUGUCUUUCUGGAGGCUAGGCGGAGAAAGCGGAAUUCCACGUGUAGCGGUGAAAUGCGUAGAUAUGUGGAAGAACACCUGUGGCGAAAGCGGCUUUCGAGCUUAGACCUGACGUUGAUGCGCGAGAGCAAGGGGAGCAAACAGG
Molecule: ribosomal RNA, 253 nt
Filed under: uncultured bacterium
Lineage: Bacteria
Description: partial 16S ribosomal RNA
Rfam family: Bacterial small subunit ribosomal RNA
Source: RNAcentral